Molecule: RNase P RNA, 374 nt
Filed under: Sorex araneus (European shrew)
Lineage: Eukaryota; Metazoa; Chordata; Mammalia; Eulipotyphla; Soricidae
Description: Nuclear RNase P (ENSSARG00000020117.1)
Rfam family: Nuclear RNase P (bases 7-242)
About the family: Ribonuclease P (RNase P) is a ubiquitous endoribonuclease, found in archaea, bacteria and eukarya as well as chloroplasts and mitochondria. Its best characterised activity is the generation of mature 5'-ends of tRNAs by cleaving the 5'-leader elements of precursor-tRNAs. Cellular RNase Ps are ribonucleoproteins.
Source: RNAcentral
GUAAGGUGGGGUCAUGAGCUGAGGGUGUCAUGGCACUCUAUCACAUGUCCCUUGAAAAGAUCUGCGACUCAGGCCAUCUGCAGCCCUCACAGGGACCUCCGCAAGUUCAGGGUAGCGCGUUCCCAGAGAAUGGGCUUCCACAUAAGGACAGAAUGGGCAGGAGAUGCCAUGGAGCCUACCUUGGGUCCUUCCAUACGAAAGGGCCCUAGCAAAUGUCCUGUGGCCAGAGCUUAUUACAGACUCACAGCAGCGAUGUGAGCAGUGGUUGAAGUGAGGUUCCCCAUGUGGGGAGAAGGGGCAUAAAAGGAAAGGAAAUAAAGAGGGGGGCAGAGAAAUAGCUCCACCUGAGUUUGUCCCCAGAACUGCAUGAUUCC